This 122-nucleotide ribosomal RNA is filed under the name Bison bison bison. The record is from RNAcentral. Lineage: Eukaryota; Metazoa; Chordata; Mammalia; Artiodactyla; Bovidae.
GUCUCAGGUCCGUAUCAGCCUGAAGGCGCCCGAUCUCGUCUGAUCUCGGAAGCUAAGCAGGGUCGGGCCUGGUUAGUAUCUUGGAUGGGGAGACCACCUGGGAAUCCCGGGUGCUCGAGGCU